Molecule: ribosomal RNA, 459 nt
Filed under: uncultured bacterium
Lineage: Bacteria
Description: partial 16S ribosomal RNA
Rfam family: Bacterial small subunit ribosomal RNA
Source: RNAcentral
CCUACGGGAGGCAGCAGUGAGGAAUAUUGGUCAAUGGGCGGAAGCCUGAACCAGCCAAGUAGCGUGCGGGAUGAAGGCCCUACGGGUCGUAAACCGCUUUUGCACGGGGAUAACACCCUCCACUUGUGGAGGUCUGCAGGUACCGUGCGAAUAAGGGCCGGCUAAUUCCGUGCCAGCAGCCGCGGUAAUACGGAAGGCCCGAGCGUUAUCCGGAUUCAUUGGGCUUAAAGGGAGCGUAGGCGGGCGUUCAAGUCAGCUGUAAAAUCGCGCGGCUCAACCGCGCCCCGAAGUUGAAACUGGACGCAUUGAGUUCACAACAGGCAGGCGGAAUUCGUGGUGUAGCGGUGAAAUGCAGAGAGAUCACGAGGAACCCCGAUUGCGAAGGCAGCCUGCCGGGGUGCGACUGACGCUGAGGCUCGAAGGUGCGGGUAUCAAACAGGAUUAGAUACCCGUGUAGUC